UACGGAGGGUGCAAGCGUUGUUCGGAAUUACUGGGCGUAAAGCGCGUGUAGGCGGCCUGCUAAGUCUGGUGUGAAAGCCCGGGGCUCACCCCCGGAAGUGCAUUGGAAACUGGCAGGCUGGAGUACCGGAGAGGAGGGUGGAAUUCCUGGUGUAGCGGUGAAAUGCGUAGAUAUCAGGAAGAACACCGGUGGCGAAGGCGGCCCUCUGGACGGAUACUGACGCUGAGACGCGAAAGCGUGGGGAGCAAACAGGAUUAGAUACCCUGGUAGUCCACGCCGUAAACGAUGGGUACUAGGUGUUCGGGGUAUUGACCCCCCGGGUGCCGACGCUAACGCAUUAAGUACCCCGCCUGGGGAUUACGGCCGCAAGGCUAAA
Molecule: ribosomal RNA, 376 nt
Filed under: uncultured bacterium
Lineage: Bacteria
Description: bacterial SSU rRNA
Rfam family: Bacterial small subunit ribosomal RNA
Source: RNAcentral